GAUACCAUUCUGUAACGACCCGAAAAUCGGACCGCUACCGGCGCUAGGAUCCAGAUCGGCUUAAGGCCGCCGGGACCCAUAGCAAGCCUGACAUGUAACCUGUAAACCUGUUUAAUCCCAUACAUGAUCAACAAUCAUACAUAAAAAUUUAAACUUUUCUUCCAUACAUUCUAUCAUACACCAAACUCAACCUGUGCAUGCACUGAACAUAUACAUAAUCAUAAACUUGACCCCUCUGUGGGAUCUCAUCAAUGCCCCCAAUGGGUGGCAUAACAAGUGUUGAGUUGG
This 288-nucleotide long non-coding RNA is filed under the name Manihot esculenta (cassava). RNAcentral's name for it is "long non-coding RNA (MESC_LNC008524)". Lineage: Eukaryota; Viridiplantae; Streptophyta; Magnoliopsida; Malpighiales; Euphorbiaceae. The record is from RNAcentral.